UUCAUGGAGAGUUUGAUCCUGGCUCAGGACGAACGCUGGCGGCGUGCCUAAUACAUGCAAGUCGAGCGGACCGACGGGAG
RNAcentral lists this ribosomal RNA (80 nucleotides) under Bacillus licheniformis. RNAcentral's name for it is "partial 16S ribosomal RNA". It matches the Rfam family "Bacterial small subunit ribosomal RNA", at positions 1 to 80 of the family's 1533-position model. The record is from RNAcentral. Lineage: Bacteria; Bacillati; Bacillota; Bacilli; Caryophanales; Bacillaceae. RNAcentral also lists the same sequence under 3 other names.